GGGGGGAGUGGAAGGAAGGAAGAAAACAACAAGGUCAGAAGAAGGGAAGGAAAGGGAAGGCAGGUUGGUAAAGGGUUUACCUGGAAGGACAGGGUUGUUGCGAGAAGAAGAAAUAGUUAACAUGUUUCCUAAACCAAAGGAAAAAUACAAGGAGGCUCUUCCUGGCGUUUAGGAGGGCGCCUGAGAGAAAUCUCGCAGCUAUUCGCCAUGGAGCCUGCAGUGCGCAAAGGGCGCCACCGGAGGGCAGCAAAGAGCAAGGCAGCAGCAGGCGCUUCAGUGGCUGCAGCAGCAGGGCCCCUUUUGGACUACAAUUCCCAUCAGCCCCUGGGAAAACAUGACCGCCCCCGCCCCUGAGGGACAGAGGAUGAUGGGGAUUUCAUUCCAAAGCAUUUUGAAGGGCUCCAGGGCGCAGAAAGACUGGCUUAGCGACCUCCCCCAAAAUUCUGCAUCGUCUGGGGAUGAUGGGAUUAAUAAUAAUAAUAAUAAUAAUAAUAAUAAUAAUAAUAAUAAUAAUAAUGUAUUUUAUUUUUAUUCCCAAAAAAGGGACCCAAGGUGGCUUGCAAUAGGAAAGCACAUUAAAACCCUGUUUUUAGGUGGCUAAUAAAGAAGAUUCCUAAUACAAGGGCCCCCUCUUGUGGAUACUGAGGGCGCUGCAGCCUCUAGAUCGACCUCGAGAUCGAUCCCUCCCUUCCCUCCUAGGGCUCCCCUGAAAGGACCAUUGGGCUCCUAUAUUAUUAUGUAUGUGUGUGUAUAUGUGUAUGUAUAUAGAGACAUAUAAUUAUACACACACACACAUAUAUUGUAUUUUAAGAGGGGGAUUGAGGGUUUUGGAAUACAUGUUUUUUAA
Long non-coding RNA from Sceloporus undulatus (fence lizard), 847 nucleotides. RefSeq lists it as uncharacterized. Lineage: Eukaryota; Metazoa; Chordata; Lepidosauria; Squamata; Phrynosomatidae. The record is from RefSeq and is a predicted model, not a curated record. The transcript is spliced from 3 exons.